Small nuclear RNA from Cebus imitator (Panamanian white-faced capuchin), 172 nucleotides. Its record names the gene U1. It matches the Rfam family "U1 spliceosomal RNA". Rfam says of the family: U1 is a small nuclear RNA (snRNA) component of the spliceosome (involved in pre-mRNA splicing). Its 5' end forms complementary base pairs with the 5' splice junction, thus defining the 5' donor site of an intron. There are significant differences in sequence and secondary structure between metazoan and yeast U1 snRNAs, the latter being much longer (568 nucleotides as compared to 164 nucleotides in human). Lineage: Eukaryota; Metazoa; Chordata; Mammalia; Primates; Cebidae. The record is from Ensembl.
AUACUUACCUGGAAGGGCAGAUACCAUGAUCUUAAAGGCAGUUUUCCCAGUACGAGGCUUAGCCAUUACUCUCUGGAUCCAUUACAGGUGCUGAUCCCUGUAAUUGCCCCAAAUGUGGAAAACUCAGCUGCAACAUUUGUGGUAGUGGGUGACUGCAGUAUGCAUUCAGGUA